UACGAAGGGUGCAAACGUUGCUCGGAAUUAUUGGGCGUAAAGCGCACGUAGGCGGCUUUGCAAGUCGGAUGUGAAAGCCCUCGGCUCAACCAAGGAAGUGCAUCCGAAACUGCAGAGCUUGAGUACUUAAGAGGAUCGCGGAAUUCCCGGUGUAGAGGUGAAAUUCGUAGAUAUCGGGAGGAACACCGAAGGCGAAGGCAGUGUCCUGGCGAGUGACUGACGCUGAGGUGCGAAAGCCAGGGGAGCGAACGGG
This 253-nucleotide ribosomal RNA is filed under the name uncultured bacterium. RNAcentral's name for it is "partial 16S ribosomal RNA". It matches the Rfam family "Bacterial small subunit ribosomal RNA", at positions 524 to 776 of the family's 1533-position model. The record is from RNAcentral.